This 497-nucleotide ribosomal RNA is filed under the name uncultured bacterium. RNAcentral describes it as "partial 16S ribosomal RNA". It matches the Rfam family "Bacterial small subunit ribosomal RNA", at positions 28 to 507 of the family's 1533-position model. The record is from RNAcentral.
GAUGAACGCUGGCGGCGUGCCUAAUACAUGCAAGUCGAGCGAACAGACGAGGAGCUUGCUCCUCUGACGUUAGCGGCGGACGGGUGAGUAACACGUGGAUAACCUACCUAUAAGACUGGGAUAACUUCGGGAAACCGGAGCUAAUACCGGAUAAUGUAUUGAACCGCAUGGUUCAAUAGUGAAAGACGGUUUUGCUGUCACUUAUAGAUGGAUCCGCGCCGCAUUAGCUAGUUGGUAAGGUAACGGCUUACCAAGGCAACGAUGCGUAGCCGACCUGAGAGGGUGAUCGGCCACACUGGAGCUGAGACACGGUCCAGACUCCUACGGGAGGCAGCAGUAGGGAAUCUUCCGCAAUGGGCGAAAGCCUGACGGAGCAACGCCGCGUGAGUGAUGAAGGUCUUCGGAUCGUAAAACUCUGUUAUUAGGGAAGAACAAAUGUGUAAGUAACUAUGCACGUCUUGACGGUACCUAAUCAGAAAGCCACGGCUAACUACGUG